CAAUGGCCGGUACAAAGGGGCGCAAUCACCUGAGACGGAGGGAAUUCCAAAAAACCGGUCCCAGUUUGGAUUGAGGUUUGCAACUCGACCUCAUGAAGUCGGAGUCGGUAGUAAUUGCAGAUCAGCAACGCUGCGGUGAAUACGUUCCCGGGUCUUGUACACACCGCCCGUCAAGUCAUGAAAGUCGGUAACACCUGAAGCCGGUGGCCCAACCCUUGUGGAGGGAGCCGUCGAAGGUGGGAUCGGUAAUUAGGACUAAGUUCGUAAA
RNAcentral lists this ribosomal RNA (268 nucleotides) under Microbacterium proteolyticum. Its description in RNAcentral is "partial 16S ribosomal RNA". It matches the Rfam family "Bacterial small subunit ribosomal RNA", at positions 1228 to 1492 of the family's 1533-position model. Lineage: Bacteria; Bacillati; Actinomycetota; Actinomycetes; Micrococcales; Microbacteriaceae. The record is from RNAcentral.